GAAAAUAGAAUGGAUAAAAGGCCAGAUUUAACGGGACUUAAAAUAAAACGGGUUUUAACUCCCGGAACCCACUAAGUUAACUAGGUAAAAUUAACCUAGUUAGUAAUGAGUAACUAAAUAAUAAACUAUGGGUUAUAGUUUCAUUUAUGAAUCUCUAAACUUGAGGGGCUAAACAUGGGCAACUAGAGAAGUGUUUUAUUAAAACACUUAAAUAAAAAAAAAACACACACACAUACAUGUGUGUACGUAUGCGAUCAGAAGAAGGAGCCAGGAGAGCUCAAACCCUAGUUGUACAAAUCCUCCAAAUCGAAGCUCAAAUCAAGCCCGAAUCGUCUGCAUGAUUACAAAUUCGUGAUCGCCUAGUCGUGGGGAUCAUAAGUUGACUCUAAACAAGCUAGGUGGGAGCUUGAAAAGGAAUGGGUCAAACGGAUCAUGGAUGCGAAGAAUGUUUGCGUGGAUGCGAGGUACAUUUUGGAUGCCGGAAGACGAUCAAGCUCGACGAAGGACCGAACACGAU
Molecule: long non-coding RNA, 517 nt
Organism: Helianthus annuus (common sunflower)
Lineage: Eukaryota; Viridiplantae; Streptophyta; Magnoliopsida; Asterales; Asteraceae
Exons: 3
Source: RefSeq, a predicted model, not a curated record